Molecule: long non-coding RNA, 2333 nt
Organism: Tympanuchus pallidicinctus (lesser prairie-chicken)
Lineage: Eukaryota; Metazoa; Chordata; Aves; Galliformes; Phasianidae
Exons: 2
Source: RefSeq, a predicted model, not a curated record
UUUUUAGCGUUAUCUCCGCCGUCCUCCGGGGAGCGCUCCGCCCGCAGAGCCGCCCCUGUGCCUCAGUUUCCCUCGUUGCGCACCGUCCUCCAACCCGUCCCACCGCCGCCAUCCCGCCCCGCACGCGGUCCGCUCUGCUCCAGCCCUGGCAGAGAACGGAUGCAGUGAGUUGGACGGGUGUCACCGGGUCUCUAAAAGUGACAACAUAGGGUGAGGAGUGCCGCGUCCCAUUGCUGUCCUCUUUUCGUAGCUUUCAUCCCUAAGGCCCAGCACCAGGAGGCAGCAGCACGGCCUCGCUCCGUGGGAUCUGGCAUCGUUCCUUAGGCUGCAGUGAGUUGGCGCGGUCUCAGCGCAGCAGGGAGGGCCGUGCCAGCCCGCGCAGGCUCUGCCAGCCUCAGCCCCAGCCCCGAAAUGCCAGGAUAACACUGGAUUUGUACAGAUUUCCCUGCUGGAAUGGAAGGGAGGGAGGGAGGAAGUUUUAACUCUCCUUUUCCCUGCCAGUGUUGUUCAGCUCGGCAGCACAGAAGGGAUGGGAGUGGGUCACCCACAGCACGGAUGGGGCUGUGCCCCACUGCCACCCCUCCCCAAAAAGUCACCUAUUCACCAUUGCUCCAGUAGGAAACUUGGACUGUCCUCUGCUCCUCACGUUCCCCCUGCGUCCUCCAGACAGUCUCAGCAAGUCCCUUAUGGCACACUUGGUUUCGGGGGGAAUGUGCUCCCCCAUCCCCUGCCCCGUGCCCCCUCAUCACCCGUCCCUGCUCUCAGCUCAGAGCUGUAAGCCCGGAGCACAGCAACCCCCCCAGCACUGAUGACUGCGAGGGGCUAUUGCAAAAGGUAGGGAAAUAAGGGGUGAAACACACCCCGGAGGGACUGGGACACCCAGUUUCCCCAUGGGAUCGGAUCUGAGGGUGUGCCGGGGGGGCCACCUGUACCCCGGGAGGGGACAGCAAGGAACAUCCUGCGGGGGGCAGGAAUUUAAGGGCGGGCAGAAAGAGAUCCGAUAAAGCCCGACCUGCGCACAGAUGUGCGGGAGUGGUGGGGGUGGAGGGGCUAUCGGAGACGGUUCCCGUGGGAGAAAGGAUGUGGGGGGGCAGAUUUUGCAGAGGAGGGGAGGAGCGGCGGCGCCGGCUCCGGCGGUCCCGACACUGGGCGGCCCCGGCACGGCGGCGGUGGCGGCGGCUCCGGUACCGCUGUGACUUCGGAGCAAUGCAGCGAAGGAGGAGGCAGCGGGAGCAGGAAGGCAAGCGGCAGUGGGAGUGCAGCCCCUUCCCAACCUCGGCACCCCCAACCCGCGCUACCGCCACGCAACCGGAGGGGUUUGCUGAGGGACUGCUUCACCCGCAUAUCUGCAGCCAGCUCCAGGGAGGGAUGUUUGGGACCCUGUGGGACCCUUUGGGGACCUCACGUCACCAUUGUUGGAUACCUGGCAGCAUCCCUCGCUCCAUCCAUCCCGACACACAGCAGCAAGCACAAAGUAAAGUUAUCAGUAUGCCACGCUAAACCACUGCUGUCACGAGGCAGGAGCUGCUGUGAAACUUGAGGGUGACCCCAGCAAUGUCCCUGUCCCUGCCUGGCGGGACGCAGUGGGCUGGGAAGUGUCUGCCGGCACUGAUGGCCAUAAAAGGUCCUGAAACAGAGAACUCAGGAAGGAUCAUUUGGGAUGUGGGAAUGGGGCCUGGAGCUGGAUGGGGCGGUGGCACACAGCGUCUCUUCCCUGCUGCCCAUUUGGGAUCUGCAUCACCUCCCACACACGGCUCAGGGGAACAAUGCCACCCAUUCACUGGGGCACCUGGGUGGUGGGAGUGAGGUCGGAGUUCCCCCCGACCCCACAGCCUCACCCCACAGACAAUAGCUGCCCUUUGUUGGGGUUUUCUGUGUCCCCUCCCUGCCACCCAGCCGGUGACAUUUACCACCUCCAUGUUUGCAAGGGGACUCAAAGGUCAUAAGAUGUGCUGCGGAAUCGCAAAGCACAGCAGGCGCCUCUGUGCUCUCCCAUCCGUUUGAGGUCCACUGGUGGGGAACGAAGGAUGAAGAAAGAUGAAAUGGGGACCUUUUCCAGUCUGGUGACAUUUGACCUUUUUGAGAUGAAUCCACUGCUACCCCGGGGAUACCUCACUGUGAGUGCAACACCACGGAACGCCAGCCCCUAUGGGAUAUGCCAUGACUUCUAUCCCUCCAGAAAAGUCCCUGCUUCAAAAUCCUGCUCCCUCCCAGACCCACAGGGCAGUUCCCCUACGAAAUGGGCUCACAGCCCCGUUCCUCCUGGCCACCUCCAUGGGGUCCUUGGAAACACAACCCAUAAUAAACAGGCAGCCUGAGAGCUUAGAGAUAAA